CGCUGGCGGUAUGCCUAAUACAUGCAAGUCGAACGCUGAAGCACUCUGCUUGCAGAGUGUGGAUGAGUGGCGAACGGGUGAGUAACACGUGGGGAACCUGCCCAUAAGAGGGGGAUAACAUCCGGAAACGGGUGCUAAUACCGCAUAGGUGAUCAUAGCGCAUGCUUAGAUCAUUAAAGAUGGCUUCGGCUAUCGCUUAUGGAUGGCCCCGCGGCGUAUUAGCUAGUUGGUGAGGUAAUGGCUCACCAAGGCUGCGAUACGUAGCCGACCUGAGAGGGUGAUCGGCCACACUGGAACUGAGACACGGUCCAGACUCCUACGGGAGGCAGCAGUAGGGAAUCUUCCACAAUGGGCGAAAGCCUGAUGGAGCAAUACCGCGUGAGUGAAGAAGGUCUUCGGAUCGUAAAGCUCUGUUGUUAGAGAAGAACAAGAGGUGUAGUAACUGGCACCUCCUUGACGGUAUCUAACCAGAAAGUCACGGCUAACUACGUGCCAGCAGCCGCGGUAAUACGUAGGUGACAAGCGUUGUCCGGAUUUAUUGGGCGUAAAGCGAGCGCAGGCGGUCUUUUAAGUCUGAUGUGAAAGCCCACGGCUCAACCGUGGAGGGUCAUUGGAAACUGGAAGACUUGAAUGCAGAAGAGGAAAGUGGAAUUCCAUGUGUAGCGGUGAAAUGCGUAAAUAUAUGGAGGAACACCAGUGGCGAAGGCGACUUUCUGGUCUGUAAUUGACGCUGAGCUCGAAAGCGUGGGGAGCGAACAGGAUUAAAUACCCUGGUUA
This 777-nucleotide ribosomal RNA is filed under the name uncultured bacterium. Its description in RNAcentral is "bacterial SSU rRNA". It matches the Rfam family "Bacterial small subunit ribosomal RNA", at positions 34 to 793 of the family's 1533-position model. The record is from RNAcentral.